RNAcentral lists this ribosomal RNA (845 nucleotides) under Halopseudomonas pelagia. RNAcentral describes it as "bacterial SSU rRNA". It matches the Rfam family "Bacterial small subunit ribosomal RNA", at positions 23 to 863 of the family's 1533-position model. Lineage: Bacteria; Pseudomonadati; Pseudomonadota; Gammaproteobacteria; Pseudomonadales; Pseudomonadaceae. The record is from RNAcentral.
CUCAGAUUGAACGCUGGCGGCAGGCCUAACACAUGCAAGUCGAGCGGUAGAGGGAAGCUUGCUUCCCUUGAGAGCGGCGGACGGGUGAGUAAUACCUGGGAAUCUGCCUGAUAGUGGGGGAUAACGUUCGGAAACGGACGCUAAUACCGCAUACGUCCUACGGGAGAAAGCAGGGGAUCUUCGGACCUUGCGCUAUCAGAUGAGCCCAGGUCGGAUUAGCUUGUUGGUGAGGUAACGGCUCACCAAGGCGACGAUCCGUAACUGGUCUGAGAGGAUGAUCAGUCACACUGGAACUGAGACACGGUCCAGACUCCUACGGGAGGCAGCAGUGGGGAAUAUUGGACAAUGGGCGCAAGCCUGAUCCAGCCAUGCCGCGUGUGUGAAGAAGGUCUUCGGAUUGUAAAGCACUUUAAGUUGGGAGGAAGGGUUGUAGUUUAAUACGCUGCAAUCUUGACGUUACCGACAGAAUAAGCACCGGCUAACUCUGUGCCAGCAGCCGCGGUAAUACAGAGGGUGCAAGCGUUAAUCGGAAUUACUGGGCGUAAAGCGCGCGUAGGUGGCUAAGUAAGAUGGGUGUGAAAUCCCCGGGCUCAACCUGGGAACUGCAUCCAUAACUGCUUGGCUAGAGUACGGUAGAGGGUAGUGGAAUUUCCUGUGUAGCGGUGAAAUGCGUAGAUAUAGGAAGGAACACCAGUGGCGAAGGCGACUACCUGGACUGAUACUGACACUGAGGUGCGAAAGCGUGGGGAGCAAACAGGAUUAGAUACCCUGGUAGUCCACGCCGUAAACGAUGUCAACUAGCCGUUGGGAACCUUGAGUUCUUAGUGGCGCAGCUAACGCACUAA